UAUAAACAUCAAGACACCUUCCCUUAUGGAAAGGUACCAACCGAGCAAGUAAAGCCACGGUGGUAAAAUAGAUGUGGUCUGAUUCAUGACAAAAAAACGGAAUCCC
This 106-nucleotide non-coding RNA is filed under the name Flammeovirga sp. SJP92. Its description in RNAcentral is "SAM-I/IV (S-adenosyl methionine) riboswitch aptamer". It matches the Rfam family "SAM-I/IV (S-adenosyl methionine) riboswitch aptamer". From Rfam's summary of the family: It is found upstream of a number of genes which code for proteins involved in methionine or cysteine biosynthesis. It has been found mostly in the order Actinomycetales. Lineage: Bacteria; Pseudomonadati; Bacteroidota; Cytophagia; Cytophagales; Flammeovirgaceae. RNAcentral also lists the same sequence under 1 other name. The record is from Rfam by way of RNAcentral.